CCUAUGGGGGGCAGCAGUGGGGAAUAUUGGACAAUGGGGGGAACCCUGAUCCAGCCAUGCCGCGUGUGUGAAGAAGGCCCUCGGGUUGUAAAGCACUUUCAGUGAGGAAGAACGCCUGGUGGUUAAUACCCAUCAGGAAAGACAUCACUCACAGAAGAAGCACCGGCUAACUCCGUGCCAGCAGCCGCGGUAAUACGGAGGGUGCGAGCGUUAAUCGGAAUUACUGGGCGUAAAGCGCGCGUAGGUGGCUUGAUAAGCCGGUUGUGAAAGCCCCGGGCUCAACCUGGGAACGGCAUCCGGAACUGUCAAGCUAGAGUGCAGGAGAGGAAGGUAGAAUUCCCGGUGUAGCGGUGAAAUGCGUAGAGAUCGGGAGGAAUACCAGUGGCGAAGGCGGCCUUCUGGACUGACACUGACACUGAGGUGCGAAAGCGUGGGUAGCAAACAGGAUUAGAUACCCUGGUAGUC
This 465-nucleotide ribosomal RNA is filed under the name Vreelandella stevensii. RNAcentral's name for it is "partial 16S ribosomal RNA". It matches the Rfam family "Bacterial small subunit ribosomal RNA", at positions 338 to 795 of the family's 1533-position model. The record is from RNAcentral. Lineage: Bacteria; Pseudomonadati; Pseudomonadota; Gammaproteobacteria; Oceanospirillales; Halomonadaceae.